GGAAACCUGUUCGGGACUCCUUCCUCUGCACAGGGAAGGUCUCUUCUUUCUUUUGCCUGCUAAACUUCCGCUCUUGAACCCACUCCUUUUGUGUCCCCAUCCUCGAUUUCCUUGGCGUGGGGCAACAAACCACACGUAUUACCCCAGACAACCAUGCUGCUUCAAUCUCACAGGUUGAGAGCUCAUUCCCACAAGACUGCCCCCUUAUUUCCGAUGCCAAUUGCAAGCCCCAGGUUUUACCUGUUAUGACUGAAUGACUAUAAAUUGAGGGUCCCAUGGCCCCCUCCUUGUGUUCAACUGAUUUGCUAGAUUGCCUAACAGAACUAGAGGAAACACUAACUUAUGUUUACCGGUUUAUUAUGAAGGCUAUUACAAAGGAUACAGAUGAAGAGAUACAUAGGAUAAGGUAUGUGAGAAGGACUGCAGAGAUUCUAUGCCCUUCCCAGCAGCCUCUGCAUGUUCAGCUAUCAGGAAGCUCUCUACUAAAAAUAGAAAAAUUAGUUGGGCGUGGUGGCAGGCGCCUGUAAUCCCAGCUAUUCAGCAGGCUGAGGCAGGAGAAUUGCUUGAACCUGGGAGGUGAAAGUUGGAGUGAGCCGAGAUCGCCCCACCGCACUCCAGCCUGGGCGACAAGAGCAAAACUCUGUCUCAAAAAAAAAAAAAAAAAAAAAAAAAAAGGAAGUAGUGACACGAAACACUGUCUCCACACUCCACCCUUAUAACCUCCAGCUGGCACCCUGAAUGGUCUGGCCUCUCCCUGGGGGCGGAUAGGGCAGGAGACACUAAAGUAUUAAUUAUCUUUUUUGAUCAUGGCUGUAACUGUUCUGCGCCAUCUUCAACAGGUGAGACUAAGGAGGGAAUCACAGCUAGUCAUCUCAGCCAGGCCAGUAGGGGGCGCAGUGCAGUGAUCAUUCCCUGGGGCCAAGGCUGUCUCCUUGCAGGUUCAUCUCAGCUCUGCAGCAAUGCCUACUUCUUUCCAUCCGCUCCGAGGCUGUUACUAAGUAUGUGGAGCUCCUUUUCAACAACUCGCUUACUACAAAGUCCUGCUCAUUAAAAGGCGAAGGUGGUAGUGGUAGAGGACUAGAUGGGCUAACUAUUGAGUGAUAAAAUUUUUCAACUUCCUCCCUUUUCUCAAGACCUUAAAAAAAAAAAAAAACAACAGAACAUCUUCUCUGCCAACAUUUUUUUUCUUUUGAGAUGGAGUCUCGCUCUGUCGCCCAGCCUGGAGUGCAGUGGUGCGAUCUUAGCUCACUGUAACCUCCGCCUCCCGGGUUCAAUCGAUUCUCCUGCCUCAGCCUCCCCAGUAGCUGGGAUUACAGGCACAUGCCACCAUGCUUGGCUAAUUUUUGUAUUUUUAGUAGAGACGGGGUUUCACCAUGUUGGCCAGGCUGGAACUGCCAACAUUUUCUUCAUCCUAAUCAUUAAUCACUUCUUCACCCACAAAAUGUCCUUUGCUAGAACAUGAGUUCCAAGUGGAGACAGAUCACAGAAAGGGGAGGAAAACUCAGAAAUCCUUUGUUAUGAGAACUAUCGAAUUCUCCUCUUGCCUUUGUUCCCCUCAGGUAAAGAAAAAGAUUGCUAUUUUUCCAUCAAUAUCAUACCACAAAUAUCCACCUAUAUUUAUGUUGCCCUCAAGAGUUGUAAUUCUAUUAUCAUCCUACUCAAGAAAAAAGGUAGUGAGAAACAACUGGAAGUUACUGGUAUUUUGUUAUUACUAAGUACCAGGGCAUUUC
RNAcentral lists this long non-coding RNA (1730 nucleotides) under Homo sapiens (human). Its description in RNAcentral is "HSALNT0403868". The record is from RNAcentral. Lineage: Eukaryota; Metazoa; Chordata; Mammalia; Primates; Hominidae.